Molecule: long non-coding RNA, 3716 nt
Organism: Parasteatoda tepidariorum (common house spider)
Lineage: Eukaryota; Metazoa; Arthropoda; Arachnida; Araneae; Theridiidae
Source: RefSeq, a predicted model, not a curated record
UUCUACUCUUUAUUAAAUUAUUUUGUGUUAUAAAACAUUUAGCAAAAAUUUUAAUGCAUAUUUCCUAUAUAUUUAUAGACCUACCUUUAUGCAAGCUGAUUGACAAUUAUCUUUGCUGUUCAAUAUGCAGUUUUAAAGACCGGUACAAAAGCAGAUUCAUUCGCCAUGUGCGCAUCCACACUGGAGAAAAGCCAUUUGUUUGCCAUAUUUGCCAACGAGCAUUUAAUCGAGAAGAAACACUGAGGUAUCAUGUAAUGACUAUACACGUGAAGGAAGGGCCUUUUGCAUGAUAUAUGCCACUACAAAGUGAUCGAAGUGUUGCUAACUUUUCAUAUGUUGCUUUUGGAUACAAAUCAUCCUGGAUUCCUGGAAUAUUUUGUUGUUCAAUGUGUUCUUAUAAAACUCCAAACAAAUGGAAAUUUAAACGACACCUGCAGCAUCAUAGAAAUAGAUAAUGUUAUCACUAUUUUGUCAAAAAUAUUUAAGCAUUAUUUAAAAAUAUUUCCAUGCUUAUCUCUUUAUGUAAAAUCAUUGAAUAAAUUGUGUUUAUUAAUGGCACAAGAUGUAAAGUUGCCUCCUCAGCAUAACAUUUUAUAACUGAAAUAAGCAAUAAAAUGUCAUAUUAUGUAUUAUUUUUCAGCUUACUUAUAUCAUUUACAAUGUGUUAAUAACAUAAAACUUAUAUUUAUUGAUUUAUGCUUUUUAUAAGAAUUUAAUUUUUUGAACAGUUUCUUCUGCAUGAUUGCUUUAGGUAGUUUAAACUUACUCUAACUCAAUGGUUCUCUAGCCUUAAAUAUAAAAAUGUACUUUCUUGGAAUAAACAUACCUUUUUCUGACCGAUUGAGAUUUUUGAUCCCCCAAAUUAAGGGGUUGGGCUGCCCACAAUCUGGAAAGUAUAGUCCCAGUAAUUUGGUCAGAAAAGUAGUUGCAAUUUUGAACCCCUUCACACGUUGCCACGAAUGACAGCUAUAGCUGGCUGAUCUUUGGCAGUAUGAAGGCAAACAAUAUCUACAGCCGUCCUGCCCAUUUUAAUUAUUAAAAAAGGAACAUCAUUAGUACAAAGUGUUUUAAUGCUUUUAUCUGUUAUUUAUUCGGUAAUGCAUUGAGAAAAAAACCAGUUUUUUUGUAAUUUUUCGUGUUUUAACAAUUCAGAAUAUUUUUGACAUUAAGGGCUGUAACAGUCAUGCAUACCAAACAUUUCGUAUAGUUUUAUUUCACUCAAUUGAAUAGUGUGUUUUUGUGAGGAUGAAAUAUUUAUUCUGUAAAUAUUUUUUCCUGAGUUAAGUAAACACAGGUGAAUUACUCCCUUCAAAAUUUUAUAAAUGAAAAGAUAAUUUUAGCAUACAGAAUAUUUCUAUAGGUAUCAGUGUAUGUAAAUUAAUAAUAAUAUGAUAUAAAAAAUGCUAAAAAUUCAUAAAUAUUUAGGUUUGUGUUUAAUCGCUCUUCAGUGUAUAACAUUUAUGUAUUCUAAAUAUUUCAUCUAGGCAACCAAAACAAAUAAAUUCAGUACAAUUCAUAUCCCCAAGCUCUACCCGACAACAUGUCUUGGAAAAAAUCCCUCAACUCAUUGAUUUUCAGCGUAAAACUUAUUUUUUAGGUUGCAGACAAUGUUCAGCUAACAAAAUUAGAAAAGAGACGUUAUAUAGAUGUAAAACUUGUCUGCAAAAACCACCAUUGUGUCUAGAAUGCUUUGAAUCCUUUCAUUUACAGUAGAGCUGAUUCCUUGAAAAUGCUUUUUUCUUGUAUGCUUAUAAUUUGUUUUUUCAGAUGAAUUUUUUUUAAUUUUAAUUAUCUUGUGAGCAAAUUAAUUUGCAAAUGAUAACUUUGUUUGAAUCUGAUUUGCUUGUUAUUAAGCUUAAGCAUUUUUACUCUCUUUCAUUCGUAGGAACCAUUUUUGAAUUAGUAAUGACGUUCUGUUUAUUUAUUUUGAAAACUAAUAAUGGAUGCUUUAUAUCUUUGCAGAUUUUCCGUUGGGACACAAGUUUUAUCACUGUUCCUUAUGUUCAUAUAAAACUCCUGAUAAAAGCAAAUUUAGUCGACAUUUUCGUGUUCACAGUGGAGAAAGGCCUUUUAUUUGUGGUGUAUGCCGAAAACCUUUCAGUCAAAAAUCUAACAUGAAAAUUCAUAUGUUUACAAUGCAUAAAAUAUGCCUUUAACUUUGAAAAAACUAUUUUUUAAUACAAUUUAAUCUAGGGAGCCAGACUGUUAGGAUUUCAGAAAUUUCCUGAUUUUAGAUAUCUUACAUAAACAAAUAGAUAAAUUGAAAAUAAGAGCCCAAAUUUUUAACAAAAACAUGUAUAUUUACAUAUAUUUGAUCAAUUCCACUGUAAAGCCACAUAUUUUUUUUUUAUCCUAGUGGUAGUUCUACGAACUCUUGAAGAUUAAUAUUCUUAAGAUUUUGAAGUUUAUAUAUUAUGUUUCAAUAUUAUGACUUGCAAAUUUUAUUUUUAACUUUUAAGUAAUUUUAUUACGAUUGCUCGAACUGUAUGAUUGAACUGUUAAUUCACAGGCUAAAGUAAAACUAAGCUCAGUGAUGCGACAGCCCAUAUAGGGCCAAGGCCUAGUGUGCUCAUCUCAGUUUUCUCAGCUCUCAGGGGUGCAGGAGCAGAUGCUCCAGUUAGGUGGUUAGCCGAACGCGAAACAACCAGUGUUUAGUUCCCAAGCAUGCUUGGUACUCAUUUAUCGACACACUGAAGGGAUGAAAGGCUGAGUCAACCAUGCCCGGCUCGAGCAUCGAACUGCAACCCAGGCCCUGUGGCAGGUGGCCGUGAAGUGCUACCACUAAUUCACAGUCUAGUUUAUCACUUUUUGACAGUUUUUUGGACCAAAUGAUUUUUACAGGGUUGCCAUUAGCGAUUUAAAAUGCGAAAAGUGGUAACUAAUUAAAAUCAAACUUUUUUAAAUGAUAUUAAAAUUAGCAACUUUUUCAAGCAUAUUUUUUCAGUUUACUAUUAGAAGUGAAUGCAAAGAAUGGUUUUGGUUUAAAUAUGAAUAACUUUGAAUGUUAGUCAUAGUGGUAGUUAUGAUUGAAUAAUAGAAAAGAUAAUAAACAAAAAUGAAUAAUUUCUUCUACUUUUUAGUCACUGUUGGUAUCUCUGUUUUAAAAAUGCCUUUAUUUUCAACUGGAUGUUCCCAACAAGCAAAGUAAGAAUGCUGCUUUUAAAUGAUCGUUUUCUGGCUUGAUGGGUUUCGUUGUUAACUCGAAUGUUUGUUUUUUUACUUGUAAUUAUUUUUUAGUCAUUGUAACAGGUGUGAAUUUGGAAAAUCACAUUAUAGUAAUUAUAAAUUAAUGUAGCAUUACCUUUAAAGCAAUUCAAUCGUAAAUUCAUGUAAUUUUGUCUUCCAUUUUUUUACAGUAAUUUUGCAGAUUUUAAUACAGUAACUAACUGUUAUAGAUUAAAAAAAUUAUAGCAGUACUGUGUUGAAAAAUACAUAAAUCAAUUCAAGCAUGGCUACAUAUAAUACUGGAUCUUAAAAGUCAAACAAAUGUAUUUAUAAUUAAUAUGACAAGCAUUUGUACGUUUUAUGACACACUAAAAGAUAUAGAAAAUCUGUAAUUGACCCGACAGUAUUACUGCCUUAAAGAUAUUGAACAAAUUUGUACAACAAUAAUGAUAUGAAUAUACAAUGUAAAAUUUUCCAUUUUGCAAAAUUCAUUUUGGAUGCUGUAUAUAUCAUGGAGAUAAUAAAAUACUCUUAUUUUUGUACAAAAGCAA